This 678-nucleotide ribosomal RNA is filed under the name Russula sp. RNAcentral's name for it is "partial 28S ribosomal RNA". It matches the Rfam family "Eukaryotic large subunit ribosomal RNA", at positions 1 to 653 of the family's 3401-position model. The record is from RNAcentral. RNAcentral also lists the same sequence under 1 other name. Lineage: Eukaryota; Fungi; Basidiomycota; Agaricomycetes; Russulales; Russulaceae.
UUGACCUCAAAUCGGGUGAGACUACCCGCUGAACUUAAGCAUAUCAAUAAGCGGAGGAAAAGAAACUAACAAGGAUUCCCCUAGUAACUGCGAGUGAAGCGGGAAAAGCUCAAAUUUAAAAUCUGGUGGUCUUUGGCCAUCCGAGUUGUAAUUUAGAGAAGCGUCUUCCGCGCUGGACCGUGCACAAGUCUCCUGGAAUGGAGCGUCACAGAGGGUGAGAAUCCCGUCUUUGGCACGGACACACCAGGGCUUUUGCGAUGCGCUCUCGAAGAGUCGAGUUGUUUGGGAAUGCAGCUCAAAAUGGGUGGUGAACUCCAUCUAAAGCUAAAUAUUGGCGAGAGACCGAUAGCGAACAAGUACCGUGAGGGAAAGAUGAAAAGCACUUUGGAAAGAGAGUGAAACAGUACGUGAAAUUGUUGAAAGGGAAACGCUUGAAGUCAGUCGCGUCGACCGAGACUCAGCCUUGCCUUGGCUCGGUGUACUUCUCGGCCGACGGGUCAGCAUCAAUUUCGCCCCUUGGAUAAUGGCGAGGGAAAUGUGACACCUUUAUGGUGUGUUAUAGUCUCUCGUCGCAUGCAAGGGUUGGGAUUGAGGAACUCAGCACGCGCCUUUGGGUGUCGGGGUUUUGCCCACGAUACGUGCUUAGGAUGUUGGCGUAAUGGCUUUAAACGACCCGUC